Molecule: ribosomal RNA, 1137 nt
Filed under: Salmonella enterica subsp. enterica serovar Berta
Lineage: Bacteria; Pseudomonadati; Pseudomonadota; Gammaproteobacteria; Enterobacterales; Enterobacteriaceae
Also listed under: 3 other names
Description: partial 23S ribosomal RNA
Rfam family: Bacterial large subunit ribosomal RNA
Source: RNAcentral
CUGCAACUGUUUAUUAAAAACACAGCACUGUGCAAACACGAAAGUGGACGUAUACGGUGUGACGCCUGCCCGGUGCCGGAAGGUUAAUUGAUGGGGUCAGCGCAAGCGAAGCUCCUGAUCGAAGCCCCGGUAAACGGCGGCCGUAACUAUAACGGUCCUAAGGUAGCGAAAUUCCUUGUCGGGUAAGUUCCGACCUGCACGAAUGGCGUAAUGAUGGCCAGGCUGUCUCCACCCGAGACUCAGUGAAAUUGAACUCGCUGUGAAGAUGCAGUGUACCCGCGGCAAGACGGAAAGACCCCGUGAACCUUUACUAUAGCUUGACACUGAACAUUGAGCCUUGAUGUGUAGGAUAGGUGGGAGGCUUUGAAGUGUGGACGCCAGUCUGCAUGGAGCCGACCUUGAAAUACCACCCUUUAAUGUUUGAUGUUCUAACGUGGACCCGUUACCCGGGUUGCGGACAGUGUCUGGUGGGUAGUUUGACUGGGGCGGUCUCCUCCUAAAGAGUAACGGAGGAGCACGAAGGUUGGCUAAUCCUGGUCGGACAUCAGGAGGUUAGUGCAAUGGCAUAAGCCAGCUUGACUGCGAGCGUGACGGCGCGAGCAGGUGCGAAAGCAGGUCAUAGUGAUCCGGUGGUUCUGAAUGGAAGGGCCAUCGCUCAACGGAUAAAAGGUACUCCGGGGAUAACAGGCUGAUACCGCCCAAGAGUUCAUAUCGACGGCGGUGUUUGGCACCUCGAUGUCGGCUCAUCACAUCCUGGGGCUGAAGUAGGUCCCAAGGGUAUGGCUGUUCGCCAUUUAAAGUGGUACGCGAGCUGGGUUUAGAACGUCGUGAGACAGUUCGGUCCCUAUCUGCCGUGGGCGCUGGAGAACUGAGGGGGGCUGCUCCUAGUACGAGAGGACCGGAGUGGACGCAUCACUGGUGUUCGGGUUGUCAUGCCAAUGGCACUGCCCGGUAGCUAAAUGCGGAAGAGAUAAGUGCUGAAAGCAUCUAAGCACGAAACUUGCCCCGAGAUGAGUUCUCCCUGAGACUUUAGGUCUCCUGAAGGAACGUUGAAGACGACGACGUUGAUAGGCCGGGUGUGUAAGCGCAGCGAUGCGUUGAGCUAACCGGUACUAAUGAACCGUGAGGCUUAACCUU